CCUACGAGGUGCAGCAGUGGGGAAUAUUGGGCAAUGGGCGCAAGCCUGACCCAGCAACGCCGCGUGAAGGAAGAAGGCUUUCGGGUUGUAAACUUCUUUUGACAGGGAAGAGUAGAAGACGGUACCUGUCGAAUAAGCCACGGCUAACUACGUGCCAGCAGCCGCGGGAAUACGUAGGUGGCAAGCGUUGUCCGGAUUUACUGGGUGGAAAGGGCGUGUAGCCGGGUUGACAAGUCAGAUGUGAAAUCCUGCGGCUUAACCGCAGAACUGCAUUUGAAACUGUUGAUCUUGAGUACUGGAGAGGCAGACGGAAUUCCUAGUGUAGCGGUGAAAUGCGUAGAUAUUAGGAGGAACACCAGUGGCGAAGGCGGUCUGCUGGACAGCAACUGACGGUGAGGCGCGAAAGCGUGGGGAGCAAACAGGAUUAGAUACCCGAGUAGUC
Molecule: ribosomal RNA, 442 nt
Filed under: uncultured bacterium
Lineage: Bacteria
Description: partial 16S ribosomal RNA
Rfam family: Bacterial small subunit ribosomal RNA
Source: RNAcentral